RNAcentral lists this ribosomal RNA (484 nucleotides) under uncultured bacterium. RNAcentral's name for it is "partial 16S ribosomal RNA". It matches the Rfam family "Bacterial small subunit ribosomal RNA", at positions 30 to 507 of the family's 1533-position model. The record is from RNAcentral.
AUUGAACGCUGGCGGCAGGCCUAACACAUGCAAGUCGAGCGGAUGAAGGGAGCUUGCUCCUGGAUUCAGCGGCGGACGGGUGAGUAAUGCCUAGGAAUCUGCCUGGUAGUGGGGGAUAACGUCCGGAAACGGGCGCUAAUACCGCAUACGUCCUGAGGGAGAAAGUGGGGGAUCUUCGGACCUCACGCUAUCAUAUGAGCCUAGGUCGGAUUAGCUAGUUGGUGGGGUAAAGGCCUACCAAGGCGACGAUCCGUAACUGGUCUGAGGGGAUGAUCAGUCACACUGGAACUGAGACACGGUCCAGACUCCGACGGGAGGAAGCAGUGGGGAAUAUUGGACGAUGGGGGAAAGGCUGAUCCAGCACUGCCGCGUGUGUGAAGAAGGUCUUCGGAUUGUAAAGCACUUUAAGUUGGGAGGAAGGGCAGUAAGUUAAUACCUUGCUGUUUUGACGUUACCAACAGAAUAAGCACCGGCUAACUUCGUG